GGAUAAACUUGCGAAAGUGAGGCCAAUACCCCAUAGUUGUUAGAUGCUGGAAUGCACUAACAAUAAAAGCUCCGGCGCCUAAGAAUAGGGCUGCGGCGUAUCAGGCUGUUGUGAGUUUAAAAUACUCACAAACCUAUAACGCGUAGGGGCCAUGAGAGUGGGAGCCCCGAGAUGCCUUCUGAGACAUGAAGGCAGGUCCUACGGGACGCAGCAGGCGCGAAAACUUUCCAACUCAUUAACGUGUGAGAAGGGAAGCCUGAGUGCUUAUGCAUUGCAUAAGCUUUUAUCUAGCCUAAAAAGCUAGGUGAAUAAGUGGUGGGUAAGACAGGUGCCAGCCGCCGCGGUAAUACCUGCGCCACAAAUAGUGAUCACGAUUAUUGGGUCUAAAGCGUCCGUAGCCGGUUUAGCAAGUUCCUGGUGAAAUCUGGCAGCAAACUGUCAGGCAUGCUGGGAAUACUACUAGACUUGAGAUUGGGAGAGGUCAGAGGUAUUCCAUGGGUAGGGGUUAAAUCCUUUAAUCCAUGGAGGACCACCGGUGGCAAAGGCGUCUGACUGGAACAAGUCUGACGGUAGGGACGAAAGCGUGGGGAGCAAAGCGGAUUAGAUACCCGUGUAGUCCACGCUGUAAACGAUGUCCGCUUGAUGUGACAAAUCUUACGUGGAUUUGUUGUGUCGGAGCGUAGGUGUUAAGCGGACCACCUGGGGACUACGGCCGCAAGGCUGAAACUUAAGGGAAUUGGCGGGGGAACACACAAGAGGUGGAGACUGCGGUUCAAUUGGAUUCGACGCCGAGAAACUCACUAGGGUUGACAGCAGAAUGAAGGUCAGGCUAAUGGUCUUACCAGACAAGCUGAGAGGUGUUGCAUGGCCAUCGUCAGCUCGUACCUUGAGGCGUGCCGUUAAGUCGGUUAACGAGCGAGACCCACACUAUCAUUUGCUACCACACUUUACCAAGAGCAAUCUGAAGUAAAUUGUGAGCACUAUGAUAGGACCGCUAUUGAUAAAAUAGAGGAAGGAGUGGGCAACGAUAGGUCCGUAUGGCCCGGAUACCCUAGGCUACACGCGGUCUACAAUGGUUGGGACAAUGCGAUGCGACUCCGAAAGGAGAAGCCAAUCGCCUAAACCCAAUCUUAGUCCGGAUUGAGGGCUGUAAUUCGCCCUCAUGAAGCUGAAAUCUCUAGUAAGCGAACGUCAUCAUCGUUCGCUGAAUACGUCCCUAUUCUUUGCACACACUGCCUGUCAAACCAUGCGAGUGGAUUCUUGGUGAGGCUCUACAUUUAAUAGAUUCGAGCCAGGGGUCCGCGAGUGGGGUUAAGUCAUAACAAGGUA
This 1329-nucleotide ribosomal RNA is filed under the name metagenome. RNAcentral describes it as "bacterial SSU rRNA". It matches the Rfam family "Archaeal small subunit ribosomal RNA", at positions 124 to 1445 of the family's 1478-position model. The record is from RNAcentral.